AGAAAUGUUGUGGCAGUUAAGAGUUGGAGA
This 30-nucleotide non-coding RNA is filed under the name Rattus norvegicus (Norway rat). The record is from RNAcentral. Lineage: Eukaryota; Metazoa; Chordata; Mammalia; Rodentia; Muridae.